RNAcentral lists this long non-coding RNA (426 nucleotides) under Ictidomys tridecemlineatus (thirteen-lined ground squirrel). RNAcentral's name for it is "lncRNA (ENSSTOG00000032922.1)". The record is from RNAcentral. Lineage: Eukaryota; Metazoa; Chordata; Mammalia; Rodentia; Sciuridae.
AUGCCGGCCUAUUUCCAGAGGCCGGAAAAUGCCCUCAAACGCGCCAACGAAUUUCUUGAGGUUGGCAAAAAGCAGCCUGCUCUGGAUGUUCUUUAUGAUGUUAUGAAAAGUAAGAAACAUAGAACAUGGCAAAAGAUACACGAGCCGAUUAUGUUGAAAUACUUGGAACUUUGCGUGGAUCUUCGUAAGAGCCACUUGGCUAAGGAAGGAUUAUAUCAGUAUAAGAACAUUUGUCAGCAGGUGAACAUUAAAUCUUUAGAGGAUGUUGUUAGGGCAUAUUUGAAACUGGCAGAGGAAAAAACUGAAGCUGCUAAAGAAGAAUCCCAACAGAUGGUAUUAGAUAUAGAAGAUCUGGAUAAUAUUCAGACUCCUGAGAGGUAUGAAUUAAACCUUUGAUAAUUUUGAUAGUUAAGUCAGUGUUUUUCU